GACGAACGCUGGCGGCGUGCUUAACACAUGCAAGUCGAACGGAAAGGCCCCUUCGGGGGUACUCGAGUGGCGAACAGGUGAGUAACACGUGAGUAACCUGCCCUUGACUUCGGGAUAACUUCAGGAAACUGGGGCUAAUACCGGAUAGGAAUCCUUGCUGCAUGGUGGGGGUUGGAAAGCUUCGGCGGUUUUGGAUGGACUCGCGGCUUAUCAGCUUGUUGGUGGGGUAGUGGCUUACCAAGGCUUUGACGGGUAGCCGGCCUGAGAGGGCGACCGGCCACAUUGGGACUGAGAUACGGCCCAGACUCCUACGGGAGGCAGCAGUGGGGAAUAUUGCACAAGGGGCGGAAGCCGGAUGCAGCAACGCCGCGUGCGGGAUGACGGCCUUCGGGUUGUAAACCGCUUUCAGCAGGGGCGAAGCUUGUGGUGACGGUACCUGCAGAAGAAGCACCGGCUAACUACGUG
Molecule: ribosomal RNA, 465 nt
Filed under: uncultured bacterium
Lineage: Bacteria
Description: partial 16S ribosomal RNA
Rfam family: Bacterial small subunit ribosomal RNA
Source: RNAcentral